Molecule: ribosomal RNA, 809 nt
Filed under: uncultured bacterium
Lineage: Bacteria
Description: bacterial SSU rRNA
Rfam family: Bacterial small subunit ribosomal RNA
Source: RNAcentral
AUUGGGCGUAAAGCGUUUGUAGGCGGGCGAGUGUGUUUAAUGUUAAAUCUUAAAGCUCAACUUUGAAAUUGCGUUAAAAACUGCUUGUCUUGAGUAUGGUAGGGGUAAAGGGAAUUCCCAGUGUAGCGGUGAAAUGCGUAGAUAUUGGGAAGAACACUAAACAGCGAAGGCACUUUACUAGGCUAAUACUGACGCUGAGAAACGAAAGGUAAGGUAGCGAAACGGAUUAGAUACCCGUGUAGUCUUACCCGUAAACUAUGGACACUAAACGGUAAAUUUUUAAUUUACUGUUAAAGCUAACGCGUUAAGUGUCCCGCCUGGGGAGUAUGCUUGCAAAAGUGAAACUCAAAGGAAUUGACGGGGGCCCGCACAAGCGGUGGAGCAUGUGGUUUAAUUCGACGGUACACGAAGAACCUUACCAGGAUUUGACAUGCUAGAUAGUUGCUUGAAAGAGUAACGUGCCGUAAGGAAUCUAGACACAGGUGGUGCAUGGCUGUCGUCAGUUCGUGUUGUGAAAUGUUGGGUUAAGUCCCGCAACGAACGCAACCCUUGUCUUUAGUUAUUUUCUAAAGAGACUGCCUGUAAUAAACAGGAGGAAGGUAAGGAUGAGGUCAAGUCAUCAUGCCCCUUAUGUCCUGGGCUACACACGUGCUACAAUGGGAAAGACAAUGAGCUGCAAAUCUGUAAAUUUAAGCAAAUCUCUUAAACUUUCUCGUAGUUCGGAUUGUGGGCUGCAACUCGCCCACAUGAAGUUGGAAUCGCUAGUAAUCGCCAGUCAGCUAUAUGGCGGUGAAUCCGUUCCCGGGCCU